This 231-nucleotide long non-coding RNA is filed under the name Ananas comosus (pineapple). Its description in RNAcentral is "long non-coding RNA (ACOM_LNC003317)". Lineage: Eukaryota; Viridiplantae; Streptophyta; Magnoliopsida; Poales; Bromeliaceae. The record is from RNAcentral.
AGCUUAUAAAAUACCCCACCUUCUCCGCUCUUAUUCACAGCCAAAAACACACCCUCUUCUCUCAUUUUUCUCCCUCUCUCUCUAGGAACUCUCUUAGAGGUGGAUCAAGAGGAGAUUUAAAGAUGGAUUUGGAGAUUUGAAGGGUCUAGGGCUCUCCUAUAAGGUGGAGCUUGGAGUGCUUUUUGGCUGAGGUGAGGUUUCUUGUAAGAUUGAUGUUAGGGUUUGGUUUUA